GUCGAGCGGCGGACGGGUGAGUAAUGCCUAGGAAAUUGCCCUGAUGUGGGGGAUAACCAUUGGAAACGAUGGCUAAUACCGCAUAAUGCCUACGGGCCAAAGAGGGGGACCUUCGGGCCUCUCGCGUCAGGAUAUGCCUAGGUGGGAUUAGCUAGUUGGUGAGGUAAUGGCUCACCAAGGCGACGAUCCCUAGCUGGUCUGAGAGGAUGAUCAGCCACACUGGAACUGAGACACGGUCCAGACUCCUACGGGAGGCAGCAGUGGGGAAUAUUGCACAAUGGGCGCAAGCCUGAUGCAGCCAUGCCGCGUGUGUGAAGAAGGCCUUCGGGUUGUAAAGCACUUUCAGUCGUGAGGAAGGUAGUGUAGUUAAUAGCUGCAUUAUUUGACGUUAGCGACAGAAGAAGCACCGGCUAACUCCGUGCCAGCAGCCGCGGUAAUACGGAGGGUGCGAGCGUUAAUCGGAAUUACUGGGCGUAAAGCGCAUGCAGGUGGUUUGUUAAGUCAGAUGUGAAAGCCCGGGGCUCAACCUCGGAAUAGCAUUUGAAACUGGCAGACUAGAGUACUGUAGAGGGGGGUAGAAUUUCAGGUGUAGCGGUGAAAUGCGUAGAGAUCUGAAGGAAUACCGGUGGCGAAGGCGGCCCCCUGGACAGAUACUGACACUCAGAUGCGAAAGCGUGGGGAGCAAACAGGAUUAGAUACCCUGGUAGUCCACGCCGUAAACGAUGUCUACUUGGAGGUUGUGGCCUUGAGCCGUGGCUUUCGGAGCUAACGCGUUAAGUAGACCGCCUGGGGAGUACGGUCGCAAGAUUAAAACUCAAAUGAAUUGACGGGGGCCCGCACAAGCGGUGGAGCAUGUGGUUUAAUUCGAUGCAACGCGAAGAACCUUACCUACUCUUGACAUCCAGAGAACUUUCCAGAGAUGGAUUGGUGCCUUCGGGAACUCUGAGACAGGUGCUGCAUGGCUGUCGUCAGCUCGUGUUGUGAAAUGUUGGGUUAAGUCCCGCAACGAGCGCAACCCUUAUCCUUGUUUGCCAGCGAGUAAUGUCGGGAACUCCAGGGAGACUGCCGGUGAUAAACCGGAGGAAGGUGGGGACGACGUCAAGUCAUCAUGGCCCUUACGAGUAGGGCUACACACGUGCUACAAUGGCGCAUACAGAGGGCAGCAAGCUAGCGAUAGUGAGCGAAUCCCAAAAAGUGCGUCGUAGUCCGGAUUGGAGUCUGCAACUCGACUCCAUGAAGUCGGAAUCGCUAGUAAUCGUGGAUCAGAAUGCCACGGUGAAUACGUUCCCGGGCCUUGUACACACCGCCCGUCACACCAUGGGAGUGGGCUGCAAAAGAAGUAGGUAG
This 1347-nucleotide ribosomal RNA is filed under the name Vibrio owensii. Its description in RNAcentral is "16S ribosomal RNA". It matches the Rfam family "Bacterial small subunit ribosomal RNA", at positions 90 to 1433 of the family's 1533-position model. The record is from RNAcentral. Lineage: Bacteria; Pseudomonadati; Pseudomonadota; Gammaproteobacteria; Vibrionales; Vibrionaceae.